GCUCGGGCGCCUCAGAGGGUUGCUGAGGCCCGUCGAGCCCGCGGAGGUUAAGUCCGCCGGCUGACGCCUCAGCCUUCGCCCCGCGCGCCGGUCUCGGGCUUCACGGAAAUGAAAACAAGCCAAGAGUAAAACAAAACCAGUACAAAUCCCCAAGUCAAAACAGCUACAAUCAAAUUCAAGGAAAGCAAAGGGUGAUUCCUGGAAACCUCUGGAAGCAAGCUGCUGCUGUUUGUUUUAUACCCUGGGCCGUUUGACUUGGAACAUUUCUGAAGUUGUUCAGUUCCUGCACAUCUAAAUGAACGGCUGUUUCUGGGUACAGUUACCUUCUCAGCUUACAUGCUUUGAUGAAGCAAGCUGCCAUGUUGGAAACGGUCAUGUCACAAAGAACUGAGGGAGGCCUCAGGAGGAGCUGAGGUCCAGUCCAACAUCCUGCAAGGAACUGAAUCUUCCCCACAACCACACGAGCUUUGAAGUGGAUGCUUCCUGACUGGAGACUCCCAGCCCUGGCCGACGCCUUGAUUACAGCCUUGUGGGGAGACCCUGAAGCAGAGGACCCAGCUAAGCCACACCAGACUCUUGACCCUCAGAAAUCAAGAGAAUCUGAAGGUGGGAUUUGGGGGAAAACUCUUCCAGAGUUUUCAGAAUCAGAAAUUCACCAGGUCAAUGGACAUCUUAUAUGCCCAGAUCCUACAACUACUGAAGCCCGUGCGCCUAGAGCCCGUGCUCCGCAACAAGAGAAGCCACAGCAAUAAGCCCGUGCACCGCAACGAAGAGUAGCCCCUGCUCGCCGCAACUAGAGAAAGCCCGUGUGCGGUGACGAAGAACCAAU
Eubalaena glacialis (North Atlantic right whale) is the source of this 829-nucleotide long non-coding RNA. RefSeq lists it as uncharacterized. The record is from RefSeq and is a predicted model, not a curated record. Lineage: Eukaryota; Metazoa; Chordata; Mammalia; Artiodactyla; Balaenidae. The transcript is spliced from 4 exons.